AGCGAACGCUGGCGGCAGGCUUAACACAUGCAAGUCGAGCGGGCAUAGCAAUAUGUCAGCGGCAGACGGGUGAGUAACGCGUGGGAACGUAACCUUUGGUUCGGAACAACACCGGGAUACUUGUUCUAAUACCGGAUAAGCCCUUACGGGGAAAGAUUUAUCGCCGAAAGAUCGGCCCGCGUCUGAUUAGCUAGUUGGUGGGGUAAAGGCCCACCAAGGAGACGAUCAGUAGCUGAUCUGAGAGGAUGAUCAGCAACAUUGGGACAGAGACACGGCCCAAACUCCUACGGAAGGCAGCAGUGGGGAAUAUUGGACAAUGGGGGCAACCCUGAUCCAGCCAUGCCGCGUGAGUGAUGAAGGCCCUAGGGUUGUAAAGCUCUUUUGUGCGGGAAGAUAAUGACGGUACCGCAAGAAUAAGCCCCGGCUAACUUCGUGCCAGCCGCCGCGGUAA
RNAcentral lists this ribosomal RNA (451 nucleotides) under uncultured bacterium. Its description in RNAcentral is "partial 16S ribosomal RNA". It matches the Rfam family "Bacterial small subunit ribosomal RNA", at positions 29 to 523 of the family's 1533-position model. The record is from RNAcentral.